This 64-nucleotide transfer RNA is filed under the name Chrysochares punctatus. Its description in RNAcentral is "tRNA-Phe". Lineage: Eukaryota; Metazoa; Arthropoda; Insecta; Coleoptera; Chrysomelidae. The record is from RNAcentral.
AUCUAAAUAGCUUAUAAAGAGCAUUGAACUGAAGAUUCAAGGGAAAUUAUUUAAUUUUUAGAUA